CACGUAGGCUGUUCCGUCAAUCAGAUGUGAAAUCCCUCGGCUUAACCGGGGAACUGCAUUUGAUACUGCGGGACUUGAGUGUCGGAGAGGGUGGCGGAAUUCCAGAUGUAGGAGUGAAAUCCGUAGAUAUCUGGAGGAACACCAGUGGCGAAGGCGGCCACCUGGACGACAACUGACGCUGAGGUGCGAAAGCGUGGGUAGCAAACAGGAUUAGAUACCCUGGUAGUCCACGCUGUAAACGAUGGAUGCUGGGCGUCGGGGGUUUACCUUCGGUGCCGCAGUUAACGCGUUAAGCAUCCCGCCUGGGGAGUACGGUCGCAAGGCUGAA
RNAcentral lists this ribosomal RNA (328 nucleotides) under uncultured bacterium. RNAcentral's name for it is "bacterial SSU rRNA". It matches the Rfam family "Bacterial small subunit ribosomal RNA", at positions 568 to 898 of the family's 1533-position model. The record is from RNAcentral.